AACGCUGGCGGCGUGCUUAACACAUGCAAGUCGAACGAAACACCUUAUUUGAUUUUCUUCGGAACUGAAGAUUUGGUGAUUGAGUGGCGGACGGGUGAGUAACGCGUGGGUAACCUGCCCUGUACAGGGGGAUAACAGUCAGAAAUGACUGCUAAUACCGCAUAAGACCACAGCACCGCAUGGUGCAGGGGUAAAAACUCUGGUGGUACAGGAUGGACCCGCGUCUGAUUAGCUGGUUGGUGAGGUAACGGCUCACCAAGGCGACGAUCAGUAGCCGGCUUGAGAGAGUGAACGGCCACAUUGGGACUGAGACACGGCCCAAACUCCUACGGGAGGCAGCAGUGGGGAAUAUUGCACAAUGGGGGAAACCCUGAUGCAGCGACGCCGCGUGAGUGAAGAAGUAUCUCGGUAUGUAAAGCUCUAUCAGCAGGGAAGAAAAUGACGGUACCUGACUAAGAAGCCCCGGCUAACUACGUGCCAGCAGCCGCGGUAAUACGUAGGGGGCAAGCGUUAUCCGGAAUUACUGGGUGUAAAGGGUGCGUAGGUGGUAUGGCAAGUCAGAAGUGAAAACCCAGGGCUUAACUCUGGGACUGCUUUUGAAACUGUCAGACUGGAGUGCAGGAGAGGUAAGCGGAAUUCCUAGUGUAGCGGUGAAAUGCGUAGAUAUUAGGAGGAACAUCAGUGGCGAAG
RNAcentral lists this ribosomal RNA (690 nucleotides) under uncultured Lachnospiraceae bacterium. Its description in RNAcentral is "bacterial SSU rRNA". It matches the Rfam family "Bacterial small subunit ribosomal RNA", at positions 32 to 720 of the family's 1533-position model. The record is from RNAcentral. Lineage: Bacteria; Bacillati; Bacillota; Clostridia; Lachnospirales; Lachnospiraceae.